Molecule: RNA transcript, 5924 nt
Organism: Oncorhynchus kisutch (coho salmon)
Lineage: Eukaryota; Metazoa; Chordata; Actinopteri; Salmoniformes; Salmonidae
Gene name: glutamate receptor ionotropic, delta-2-like
Exons: 17
Source: RefSeq, a predicted model, not a curated record
UCCCCGCCCUCUGUGCAUAUCAUCCUCUCUCUGCCUCCGUCAGUCUUCCUUCCAGGUAAUUCUGUUCCAGAAAAUGCGCGGCUGGCAACUGCUGCUGCUGUCCCUGUAGUUGUCUCUCUCUACCGGGCCUCCUUCCACUCAGUAUAGCUCACCCACCGACUGCUAGAGAGAAUCCGCAUGCGGAGCCUCAUCGAACGCACCGUGGUGAAUUUACACUUGAUUUUCUGUCGCAGAAGAGUGGUAUCUACGCUUGCCAGAUUCUUGAAUAUGGAGGUCCUUGUGAAAUAUACAUUUGUUAAUUUUUUUUGUUUUAUGUCAUAAAUAUCAAUGAUGGAUCCAGUCUUUGAAACCGCAUGAAAAUGCAAGUUUUGCAGUUUAUUUUCAUUCGUUCAAGCUGAGCAAAUGCGUCGUGUCUGAGGCAGAAUCUACGGUCUCCUCCAAAUCAGCCCAGGAUUUGCGUAUGAGAAACGCAAACCACAGCGUUCCUAUUGAUCGAACAUUGCGUUUGGCUUGCCUUUAUUCCCAGUUUCGGAUUGAUCGGAUGCACCGGCGUUGGAUGCGACUGUGGAGAACUCCAUAGCUUUCAGCAUGAUUUGAUGUAAAGGGUUUUUCAACAGGGUAACUGGACGUCUACCUUUCUGAAAACAGCUACAUUCAAGUCAAGUGCGAAAGCCAUCAAUAGAUCAUCCCUAUAUGGACUAAACCUUGGCUCCUCGGGAUUUUAAAACUAGCAGGUCACACUCAUCUUGGUUUUGGCGCUUCUUGGGAAAAUUGCCUUAAACUGCGGGAGCCAUGAAAGUUGUUUCAGCAGUGUUGUUCCUUGCCAUAUUUUGGAGUCAGGAGUGGGAGCCCGUGAAUUCUGAUUCAAUCAUACACAUCGGGGCCAUCUUUGACGAGUCUGCCAGGAAGGAUGACGAGGUGUUCCGCAUGGCCGUGGCGGACCUCAACCUCAACAACGAGAUCCUGGAGACGGAGAAGAUCACCAUCUCCGUGGAGUUUGUGGACGGGAACAACCCUUUCCAGGCGGUCCAGGAAGCCUGUGAGUUGAUGAACAGGGGGAUCCUGGCGCUCGUCAGCUCUAUCGGCUGUAUGUCGGCGGGCUCCCUUCAGUCUCUGGCGGACGCGAUGCACAUCCCGCACCUCUUCAUCCAGCGUGCCACUGCCGGGACCCCUCGCUCCAGCUGCCCCCUCAUCACCACCCGCACCCGCCAGGAUGACUACACCCUCUUCGUGCGCCCGCCCGUCUACCUCAAUGACGUCAUCCUCCAAGUGGUCAGCGAGUACAGCUGGCAGAAGUUCAUCAUCUUCUACGACCAGGAAUACGAUAUCCGUGGGAUCCAGGACUUCCUGGACAAGACGUCUCAGCAAGGCAUGGACGUGUCGCUUCAGAAGGUGGAGUCCAACAUCAACAUGAUGAUUACCAGCAUGUUCCGGACCAUGAGGGUGGAGGAGCUCCACCGCUACCGGGACACGCUGCGCCGGGCCGUGCUCUUCAUGAGCCCCGCCACCGCCAAGGCCUUCAUCACUGAGGUUGUGGAGACGAACCUCGUGGCAUUCGACUGCCACUGGAUCAUCAUCAAUGAGGAGAUCUCAGACCAGGACGUCCAGGAGCUGGUUAUGAAGUCUAUCGGGCGUCUGACUCUGAUCAGGCAGACCUUCCCCCUGCCCCAGAACACCAGCCAGCGCUGUGUCAAGCACAACCACCGCAUCAACACCUCCCUCUGUGACCCCAAAGACCCCAAGGCUCAGACACUGGAGAUAACCAACCGCUACAUCUACGACACGGUGCUGCUAUUGGCCAACACCUUCCACAGGAAACUGGAGGACAGGAAGUGGCACAGCAUGGCCAGCCUCACCUGCAUCCGCAAGAACUCCAAGCCCUGGCAAGGAGGGCGCCCCAUGCUAGACAACGUCAAAAAGUCUGGAGUAAGUGGUCUGACCGGCUUCCUGGAGUUUACCGACAACGGAACCAACCCCAACAUCUACUUUGAGAUCCUGGGGACCAAUUAUGGCGAGGACAGGGGGAGGGGUGUCAUCAAGCUGGCCACCUGGGAUCCAGUGCAUGGCCUCAAUGGAACACUAACUGACAGGAAGUUGGAGAACAACAUGAGAGGUGUGGUUCUGCGCGUGGUCACUGUGCUGGAGGAGCCCUUUGUGAUGGUGUCAGAGAAUGUCCUUGGGAAGCCAAAGAAGUACCAAGGCUAUUCCAUCGACGUGCUGGAUGCUCUCUCCAAUUACCUGGGCUUCAAGUACGAGAUCUAUGUGGCCCCUGACCAUAAGUAUGGGAGCCAACAGGCUGGCGGGGUCUGGAACGGACUAAUCGGAGAGUUGGUUGCCAAGCGUGCUGACAUGGGUCUCUCGGCUCUCACCAUCACACCAGAGCGGGAGAGUGUGGUGGACUUUACCACGCGCUACAUGGACUACUCGGUGGGCGUGCUGCUCAGGAAGGCUGAACGCACCGUGGACAUGUUCGCCUGCCUGGCGCCCUUUGACCUGUCGCUAUGGGCAUGCAUCGCGGGCACGGUGCUACUGGUGGGCAUACUGGUCUACCUGCUCAAUUGGCUCAACCCGCCGCGCCUGCCCAUGGGCUCCGUCUCCUCCACCACCCUCUACAACUCCAUGUGGUUUGUCUACGGAUCAUUCGUCCAGCAGGGUGGUGAGGUUCCGUAUACCACCCUGGCCACGAGGAUGAUGAUGGGGGUAUGGUGGCUCUUCGCUUUGAUCGUACUCUCCUCCUACACGGCCAACCUGGCUGCCUUCCUCACCAUCAGCCGUAUCGAGAACUCCAUCCAGUCUCUCCAGGACCUGUCCAAGCAGACAGAGUUGCCCUACGGGACGGUGUUGGACUCGGCUGUGUACGAGCAGGUGCGCAGUAAGGCCAUGAACCCCUUUGAAAGGGACCCCAUGUACUCCCAGAUGUGGCGUAUGAUCAACCGCACCGGAGGGGCUGACAACAACGUGGAGGAGUCCAAGGAGGGCAUCCGCAAGGUGAAGUACGGCCAUUUUGCCUUUGUGUGGGAUGUGGCAGUGCUGGAGUAUGUGGGCAUCAACGAUGAGGACUGCUCCUUCUACACUGUGGGGAACAAGGCACCAGACCGGGGAUACGGCAUCGCCCUGCAGCACGGCAGUCCAUACAGGGACAUCUUCUCCCAGAGGAUCCUGGAGCUGCAGCAGAACGGGGACAUGGACAUCCUGAAGCUGAAGUGGUGGCCCCGGGACAGCCCGUGUGACCUGUACUCUGCGGUGCACACCAAACACCGCGGCAGCGCCCUGGACAUCCACAGCUUUGCCGGCGUGUUCUGCGUGCUGGCGGCAGGUGUGGUGCUCUCCUGUCUCAUCGCCAUGGUGGAGACCUGGUGGACAAGGAGGAAGGGCUCACGAGUCCCCUCCAAAGAGAUAAGUACACUGUGUUGAGGGUAAAGCGGGCGAGGGAGAGCAAUACAAAAUGCCAUUUUUCACCCUUCCAGGAUGAUAAGGAGAUCGACCUGGAGCACCUUCACCGCCGGGUUAACAGCCUGUGCACAGAGGACGACAGCCCCCACAAACAGUUCUCCACCUCCUCCAUUGACCUGACGCCACUGGACAUGGACUCUAUGCCGGCCAACCGGCAGGCCCUGGAGCAGAUCAGCGACUUCCGAAACACGCACAUCACCACUACCACCUUCAUCCCCGAGCAGAUCCAGACCCUCAGCCGCAGCCUGUCUGCCAAGGCCCAACAGGGCUUCGCCUUUGGUCCCGUGCAGGACCACCGGACUGGGGGGCCCUUCAGGCAGAGAGCCCCCAACGGAGGCUUCUUCCGCAGCCCCAUCAAGACUAUGUCCUCCAUACCCUACCAGCCCACUCCCCAGCCCAACUUCGGCUACGGCAACGACCCAGACCGGGGCACGUCCAUAUGAGGCGAGAAGGAGUAGGCCGCACAGCGAGAGAAAGAUGAAAUUAAACGCACUCAAAAAAAAUCUAUGUACAUAGGAAUCUUUUUCAGUUCUGAUUUUUUGAGGGGCUUUGCUUUUGUUUGGUGGGGGUUUUCCUGCUGAAACCUGGUGGUGAGAGGUCGGGGACUUGAAUAUUUGCUUUAUUGUCAUCUUUCUCAUGGUUGUCUAGGGAUCUUUUGGGUGACGGGGCUCUGUUUUCUCUUUUUCGUUUCAUGGCAUUUGAGGACUGCCUUUCUGAAGAAGCUUUUGGACCCAACAAGGAGGAUAUGUAUUUGUUUUUUACAACAGAAAACACUUUUCUGUUCUUGAGAUCUACAAAUCGGCAACAACCCUAUGCUCAUUUGAAGGAUGUUCUUGUCUUUGCCUUUCAGCAUAUGGGACUCCAUCACACUCAGUUCUCUGGUGUUGAUCAUCAAUGCCUGUACUCCAAAUCUGAAAUCUGCACCAAAAUGGGUGUCCAUUGGCUCCACUGCCCUGCAGACUGAGACCUCACUGUCUGAGCUUUGGGCACGCUUCGUCAUUUUUGUGCACAUAAGGCUCCAUCAAUUCCACUGCACUGUACCAGUGCCCAUUGACCUGUAUUUGAUUGUAUGUAGUUUGGAUAUUUUUUUCUCACCUGUACUGUGCUGUCUAUUUCAAGGUUAGCGCCUCAGCCUCUAAACAAACACUUGAGAGAUGCAUAGAUGGACAAAAAGGAACUGAAAAUAUAAGAUAAAAGACAACAGAAAAAGGACUUUAAAAAGCAGCUGAGGCUAUUGUAUGUAUUUUAUUGAAUUUGCUUUGAAAAUCUAUUUCAAUCCGUGGAAUGUGUUUGGUGAGAAAGUCACACAAAAAAAAUGUUUGGAGCUGUCUCAUUGUUUUUUGUCUACCAAUUUUGAAAAGCGCUAAAUGACUGCUAUAGUCUUACUCUGGUUUGCAUCAUUAAUCAUAUUCAAUAAAAACAUUUUUUUUACCUAAUUUGUAGUUCUACCAGGGCUCAGUCAGAAAAAAGUCGCAUUUCAUUCUCCAGUCCACUAACUGACUGCUGUGUACCUGUAAGGGCAAACAGUUGAGCUCAGAGUGAGGAGAACCCCUUUCAGAUAACAUCCACAGUACAAGCCAUAUCAUUGCAGGCUGGCUUCACCUUGCCAGUUUCCUGCUUCAACAGGAUUUCUUGCCAUUGGAACUGUAGAGCUGAUGGCAUUCAUUUUGAAAGAUCUUUCUUCAUUUCUUAAAUGUUAAGGGUACUGUUUAUCUAACUUUUUUAAAAGUGCCAAUUGUUUAAAUGAGGCCAUUUAGGUGCAGUUUGGGGGGAGGGGGUAAAAAAAAACAAUAUUUUGUGAAGGGAAAAGUGGAAACUAACCUUUUCACUAACACUGUAUUAAUAUUUAAUAAUGUUUGUUGUUUAGAAUGAGCUUUCAGUUUGUUAUCUUAAGACUAAACCGCAAAUGUUGUGCGUAGAGAACCGAAGCAGUGUUUGAUGCAAGCAUUCUAGAUGUCCUUUUCUUAAGCUACAGUAUGGCUAUUGAAUGACAAUAGGACACAGACAAUGUUUAAAGACAUUUUAUUUACUAUUAAUGACAGACACAUUAUGAAAUAUGUAUAUUUUACAUGUUGAUGCUAUAUUUGUUUAAAAAAUAAUAAUAAUAUAUCAUAUGAGCAUCGAGUUAGCAGUCACCCUAUACAUUUGGUUUCCCUCAGUUCCAGCCCACACAUAAGCUUUCUCAUGUCAUCUUGAGUUCAUUUUGAUUUGCUGGUUAAUAACAGAGGAGGCAAGUUCUUAAAAAGAAGCAUGCACAACUUGCUAUGCCCGUGACAUGUUUUAUUUCAUACAUAGAACGUACAGGAUUACUUGAUCAAUUUUCAACUGAUUAUAAUGUGCAGUAUUUAAUAUAGGCCUAUUUUGUUGUAUAUGUGUUGCAUAUUAUUCAAACGGAACAAUCUGAGGCCUCUGUUACAAGUGGCAAAGCUUUCUGUGUAUAAUUUGUCUAAUAAACUUGUUUUCUACAGCGG